RNAcentral lists this ribosomal RNA (768 nucleotides) under uncultured bacterium. RNAcentral describes it as "bacterial SSU rRNA". It matches the Rfam family "Bacterial small subunit ribosomal RNA", at positions 156 to 916 of the family's 1533-position model. The record is from RNAcentral.
AGGAGCGCUAAUACCGCAUACGUCCUACGGGAGAAAGCAGGGGAUCAGUAAUGACCUUGCGCUAAUAGAUGAGCCUAAGUCGGAUUAGCUAGUUGGUGGGGUAAAGGCCUACCAAGGCGACGAUCUGUAGCGGGUCUGAGAGGAUGAUCCGCCACACUGGGACUGAGACACGGCCCAGACUCCUACGGGAGGCAGCAGUGGGGAAUAUUGGACAAUGGGGGGAACCCCGAUCCAGCCAUGCCGCGUGUGUGAAGAAGGCCUUUUGGUUGUAAAGCACUUUAAGCGAGGAGGAGGCUCUUCCAGUUAAUACCUGGGAUGAGUGGACGUUACUCGCAGAAUAAGCACCGGCUAACUCUGUGCCAGCAGCCGCGGUAAUACAGAGGGUGCGAGCGUUAAUCGGAUUUACUGGGCGUAAAGCGUGCGUAGGCGGCUUCGUAAGUUGGAUGUGAAAUCCCCGAGCUUAACUUGGGAAUUGCAUUCAAAACUGUGAAGCUAGAGUAUGGGAGAGGAUGGUAGAAUUCCAGGUGUAGCGGUGAAAUGCGUAGAGAUCUGGAGGAAUACCGAUGGCGAAGGCAGCCAUCUGGCCUAAUACUGACGCUGAGGUACGAAAGCAUGGGGAGCAAACAGGAUUAGAUACCCUGGUAAUCCAUGCCGUAAACGAUGUCUACUAGCCGUUGGGGUCUUUGAGACUUUAGUGGCGCAGCUAACGCGAUAAGUAGACCGCCUGGGGAGUACGGUCGCAAGACUAAAACUCAAAUGAAUUGACGG